GCAUAACGCGAAGAACCUUACCAAGGCUUGACAUGCAUCUCUAAGCGCGUGAAAGCGCGUGACCCUUCGGGGGAUUUGCACAGGUGCUGCAUGGCCGUCGUCAGCUCGUGUCGUGAGAUGUUGGGUUAAGUCCCGCAACGAGCGCAACCCUUGUGACUAGUUGCCAGCACGUUAUGGUGGGAACUCUAGUCAGACUGCCCAGAUCAACUGGGAGGAAGGUGGGGACGACGUCAGGUCAGUAUGGCCCUUACGCCUUGGGCUGCACACGUACUACAAUGCCCAGCACAAUGAGAACCGAGACCGCGAGGUGGAGGAAAUCUAAAAAACUGGGCCCAGCUCGGAUUGGAGGCUGCAACUCGCCUCCAUGAAGUUGGAAUCGCUAGUAAUGGCGCAUCAUCUACGGCGCCGUGAAUACGUUCCCGGGUCUUGUACACACCG
Molecule: ribosomal RNA, 438 nt
Filed under: uncultured bacterium
Lineage: Bacteria
Description: bacterial SSU rRNA
Rfam family: Bacterial small subunit ribosomal RNA
Source: RNAcentral